This 21-nucleotide microRNA is filed under the name Xenopus laevis (African clawed frog). Its description in RNAcentral is "xla-miR-427-5p". Its record names the gene xla-miR-427-5p. The record is from miRBase by way of RNAcentral. Lineage: Eukaryota; Metazoa; Chordata; Amphibia; Anura; Pipidae.
ACCCAAAACAGGGCUCUCUCU